GCCCAUGUGGCGAAAUUGGUAGACGCAGCAGGUUGAGGGCCUGCCGGCCGCAAGGCCAUGCCGGUUCGAUCCCGGCCCUGGGCACCA
RNAcentral lists this transfer RNA (87 nucleotides) under Hydrogenophaga aromaticivorans. Its description in RNAcentral is "tRNA-Leu". It matches the Rfam family "tRNA". Rfam says of the family: Transfer RNA (tRNA) molecules are approximately 80 nucleotides in length. Their secondary structure includes four short double-helical elements and three loops (D, anti-codon, and T loops). The record is from RNAcentral. Lineage: Bacteria; Pseudomonadati; Pseudomonadota; Betaproteobacteria; Burkholderiales; Comamonadaceae.